UACGUAGGUGGCAAGCGUUAUCCGGAUUUAUUGGGUUUAAAGGGUGCGUAGGCGGAGUGUCAAGUCAGCGGUAAAAUUUCGGGGCUCAACCCCGUCGUGCCGUUGAAACUGACGCCCUUGAGUGAGUGAGAAGUAAGCGGAAUGCGUGGUGUAGCGGUGAAACGCAUAGAUAUCACGCAGAACGCCGAUUGCGAAGGCAGCUUACCGGCGCCCAACUGACGCUGAGGCACGAAAGCGUGGGUAUCGAACAGG
RNAcentral lists this ribosomal RNA (252 nucleotides) under uncultured Bacteroidales bacterium. RNAcentral describes it as "partial 16S ribosomal RNA". It matches the Rfam family "Bacterial small subunit ribosomal RNA", at positions 524 to 776 of the family's 1533-position model. Lineage: Bacteria; Pseudomonadati; Bacteroidota; Bacteroidia; Bacteroidales. The record is from RNAcentral.